GGGCUUUGCCUGCUAUCUCUUACCCAUGUCUUUUGAGUACUUACGUUUCCUCGGCGGGUCCGCCCGCCGAUUGGACAAAAUUAAACCCUUUGCAGUUGCAAUCAGCGUCUGAAAAACUUAAUAGUUACAACUUUCAACAACGGAUCUCUUGGUUCUGGCAUCGAUGAAGAACGCAGCGAAAUGCGAUAAGUAGUGUGAAUUGCAGAAUUCAGUGAAUCAUCGAAUCUUUGAACGCACAUUGCGCCCCUUGGUAUUCCAUGGGGCAUGCCUGUUCGAGCGUCAUUUGUACCUUCAAGCCUUGCUUGGUGUUGGGUGUUUGUCUCGCCUCUGCGUGUAGACUCGCCUCAAAACAAUUGGCAGCCGGCGUAUUGAUUUCGGAGCGCAGUACAUCUCGCGCUUUGCACUCAGAACGACGACGUCCAAAAGUACAUUUUUACACUCUUGACCUCGGAUCAGGUAGGGAUACCCGCUGAACUUAAGCAUAUCAAUAAGCGGAGGAAAA
This 502-nucleotide ribosomal RNA is filed under the name Ascochyta medicaginicola. RNAcentral's name for it is "eukaryotic LSU rRNA". The stretch from base 129 to 282 matches the Rfam family "5.8S ribosomal RNA". Lineage: Eukaryota; Fungi; Ascomycota; Dothideomycetes; Pleosporales; Didymellaceae. The record is from RNAcentral.